UGGGUAGCAACUUAAUUAAAAAUUCCUUAAGCAACUUGUAUAUUUUUCAUCCAAAAUAUGCACAAUAUUAAACUACCCAUAAAUCUUAAAAUAUAACAUUAACUUACCAUUGGGCCUUUUUCAUUUCUUUAUGACCUUUGGGCUCUCUCCAUGGGCUUCUCCAUUUUUCCUAUUUGGGCUAAGCCAUUUAUUUUUAUUUCCUACUGGGCCAUGCCCACUUAUUUUCUAUUGGGCCAUGCCCACUUAUUUUCUAUUAGGCCAUGCCCAUUUAUUUUCUAUUUCUUUU
RNAcentral lists this long non-coding RNA (286 nucleotides) under Theobroma cacao (cacao). RNAcentral's name for it is "long non-coding RNA (TCAC_LNC001681)". The record is from RNAcentral. Lineage: Eukaryota; Viridiplantae; Streptophyta; Magnoliopsida; Malvales; Malvaceae.